RNAcentral lists this long non-coding RNA (260 nucleotides) under Nicotiana benthamiana. RNAcentral's name for it is "long non-coding RNA (NBEN_LNC012179)". Lineage: Eukaryota; Viridiplantae; Streptophyta; Magnoliopsida; Solanales; Solanaceae. The record is from RNAcentral.
CUGUUGAGCCACAUUAGUGGUAGGUCGAGGACAUGAGCCGUCAACAAAUCCGAUUUUGUUUUUAGCAGAUAAUGCAACAAUCAUCUUGCGUCUCCAACCCCCAUAACCACUACCCGAGAAGGGAGUGGGGACAAGAGAGACCCCAGGGACAUCAGAGGAAUAUACAAAAAUGGGGCUGGUAGAGUCUACCGAGGAGGAGGUACCAACAGUGGUAUUAGAAGCCAUGAUUAAUGAAUCAGCUUAAAAACAGUGUCGGCAAU